ACGGAGGCAGCAGUAGGGAAUAUUGCACAAUGGGGGAAACCCUGAUGCAGCAACGCCACGUGUGGGAAGAAGCAUUUCGGUGUGUAAACCACUGUCGUGAGGGAAUAAUGCUUGGUUUCGGCCAAGUUGAAUGUACCUCGAAAGGAAGCACCGGCAAACUUCGUGCCAGCAGCCGCGGUAAUACGAGGGGUGCAAGCGUUGUUCGGAAUCACUGGGCGUAAAGGGAGCACAGGCGGAGAUGCAAGCAGUCUGUACAAUACCGGGGCCCAACCCCGGACCUGCAGACUGGACUGUUUCUCUUGGAUAGUUCAGGGGCAAGCGGAAUUCCUGGUGUAGCGGUGGAAUGCGUAGAGAUCAGGAAGAACACCGAUGGCGAAGGCAGCCAGCUGGGGGCUUAUCGACGCUCAUGCUCGAAAGUGCGGGUAGCAAACAGGAUUAGAUACCCUGGUA
RNAcentral lists this ribosomal RNA (450 nucleotides) under uncultured Fibrobacter sp. RNAcentral's name for it is "partial 16S ribosomal RNA". It matches the Rfam family "Bacterial small subunit ribosomal RNA", at positions 341 to 792 of the family's 1533-position model. Lineage: Bacteria; Pseudomonadati; Fibrobacterota; Fibrobacteria; Fibrobacterales; Fibrobacteraceae. The record is from RNAcentral.